This 99-nucleotide ribosomal RNA is filed under the name Shigella flexneri. RNAcentral describes it as "partial 16S ribosomal RNA". It matches the Rfam family "Bacterial small subunit ribosomal RNA", at positions 1 to 94 of the family's 1533-position model. Lineage: Bacteria; Pseudomonadati; Pseudomonadota; Gammaproteobacteria; Enterobacterales; Enterobacteriaceae. The record is from RNAcentral.
UUAAAUUGAAGAGUUUGAUCAUGGCUCAGAUUGAACGCUGGCGGCAGGCCUAACACAUGCAAGUCGAACGGUAACAGGAAGCGCUUGCUGCUUCGCUGA